RNAcentral lists this ribosomal RNA (375 nucleotides) under uncultured bacterium. RNAcentral describes it as "bacterial SSU rRNA". It matches the Rfam family "Bacterial small subunit ribosomal RNA", at positions 975 to 1351 of the family's 1533-position model. The record is from RNAcentral.
CAAGUCUUGACAUCGUAGCGACCGGAACUUAACCGUUCCUUCCCUUCGGGGCGCUAUAGACAGGUGGUGCAUGGUUGUCGUCAGCUCGUGUCGUGAGAUGUUGGGUUAAGUCCCGCAACGAGCGCAACCCUUAUCCUCAGUAGCCAGCAGUAAGAUGGGCACUCUGAGGAGACUGCCAGGGAUAACCUGGAGGAAGGUGGGGAUGACGUCAAAUCAUCAUGCCCCUUAUGAUUUGGGCUACACACGUGCUACAAUGGCGUAAACAAAGGGAAGCGAGAGGGCGACCUGGAGCAAAUCCCAAAAAUAACGUCCCAGUUCGGACUGUAGUCUGCAACCCGACUACACGAAGCUGGAAUCGCUAGUAAUCGCAGAUCA